CAGCGAUACUCUGGAAAGUGCCCCGUGCCGUAAGGUCGUGGCCGCCGACGGUGUAACCCGGUCCGUCCCAUAGCGGAUGACGCCGGGGAAGCUCUCAGGUUUCCGUGACAGAGGGGGCACC
This 121-nucleotide non-coding RNA is filed under the name Novosphingobium sp. AP12. RNAcentral describes it as "Glycine riboswitch aptamer". It matches the Rfam family "Glycine riboswitch aptamer". From Rfam's summary of the family: This family represents the bacterial glycine riboswitch. Glycine riboswitches usually consist of two metabolite-binding aptamers domains with similar structures in tandem. RNAcentral also lists the same sequence under 1 other name. The record is from Rfam by way of RNAcentral. Lineage: Bacteria; Pseudomonadati; Pseudomonadota; Alphaproteobacteria; Sphingomonadales; Sphingomonadaceae.